Molecule: ribosomal RNA, 2989 nt
Filed under: Salmonella enterica subsp. enterica serovar Typhimurium
Lineage: Bacteria; Pseudomonadati; Pseudomonadota; Gammaproteobacteria; Enterobacterales; Enterobacteriaceae
Description: 23S ribosomal RNA
Rfam family: Bacterial large subunit ribosomal RNA
Source: RNAcentral
GGUUAAGCGACUAAGCGUACACGGUGGAUGCCCUGGCAGUCAGAGGCGAUGAAGGGCGUGCUAAUCUGCGAUAAGCGCCGGUAAGGUGAUAUGAACCGUUAUAACCGGCGAUACCCGAAUGGGGAAACCCAGUGUGAUUCGUCACACUAUCAUUAACUGAAUCCAUAGGUUAAUGAGGCGAACCGGGGGAACUGAAACAUCUAAGUACCCCGAGGAAAAGAAAUCAACCGAGAUUCCCCCAGUAGCGGCGAGCGAACGGGGAGGAGCCCAGAGCCUGAAUCAGCAUGUGUGUUAGUGGAAGCGUCUGGAAAGGUGCGCGAUACAGGGUGACAGCCCCGUACACAAAAGCGCAUGUGCUGUGAGCUCGAUGAGUAGGGCGGGACACGUGGUAUCCUGUCUGAAUAUGGGGGGACCAUCCUCCAAGGCUAAAUACUCCUGACUGACCGAUAGUGAACCAGUACCGUGAGGGAAAGGCGAAAAGAACCCCGGCGAGGGGAGUGAAAAAGAACCUGAAACCGUGUACGUACAAGCAGUGGGAGCACAGGUUUACCUGUGUGACUGCGUACCUUUUGUAUAAUGGGUCAGCGACUUAUAUUCUGUAGCAAGGUUAACCGUAUAGGGGAGCCGGAGGGAAACCGAGUCUUAAUUGGGCGUUAAGUUGCAGGGUAUAGACCCGAAACCCGGUGAUCUAGCCAUGGGCAGGUUGAAGGUUGGGUAACACUAACUGGAGGACCGAACCGACUAAUGUUGAAAAAUUAGCGGAUGACCUGUGGCUGGGGGUGAAAGGCCAAUCAAACCGGGAGAUAGCUGGUUCUCCCCGAAAGCUAUUUAGGUAGCGCCUCGUGAAUUCAUCUCCGGGGGUAGAGCACUGUUUCGGCUAGGGGGCCAUCCCGGCUUACCAACCCGAUGCAAACUGCGAAUACCGGAGAAUGUUAUCACGGGAGACACACGGCGGGUGCUAACGUCCGUCGUGAAGAGGGAAACAACCCAGACCGCCAGCUAAGGUCCCAAAGUCAUGGUUAAGUGGGAAACGAUGUGGGAAGGCCCAGACAGCCAGGAUGUUGGCUUAGAAGCAGCCAUCAUUUAAAGAAAGCGUAAUAGCUCACUGGUCGAGUCGGCCUGCGCGGAAGAUGUAACGGGGCUAAACCAUGCACCGAAGCUGCGGCAGCGAACGUAUCACUUAAAGCGAUUCAGCGGGUUACGAUUGACGGAGCGAAGCGACGUCAAAGCGUAUACAAAGUCGAGUCGGUUUAAGGAUACGUUCGUUGGGUAGGGGAGCGUUCUGUAAGCCCGUGAAGGUGGCCUGUGAGGGUUGCUGGAGGUAUCAGAAGUGCGAAUGCUGACAUAAGUAACGAUAAAGCGGGUGAAAAGCCCGCUCGCCGGAAGACCAAGGGUUCCUGUCCAACGUUAAUCGGGGCAGGGUGAGUCGACCCCUAAGGCGAGGCCGAAAGGCGUAGUCGAUGGGAAACGGGUUAAUAUUCCCGUACUUGGUGUUACUGCGAAGGGGGGACGGAGAAGGCUAUGUUGGCCGGGCGACGGUUGUCCCGGUUUAAGCGUGUAGGUGUGUGUUCCAGGUAAAUCCGGUUCACUUUAACACUGAGGCGUGACGACGAGGCACUACGGUGCUGAAGCAACAAAUGCCCUGCUUCCAGGAAAAGCCUCUAAGCAUCAGGUAACACGAAAUCGUACCCCAAACCGACACAGGUGGUCAGGUAGAGAAUACCAAGGCGCUUGAGAGAACUCGGGUGAAGGAACUAGGCAAAAUGGUGCCGUAACUUCGGGAGAAGGCACGCUGACACGUAGGUGAAGUGAUUUACUCAUGGAGCUGAAGUCAGUCGAAGAUACCAGCUGGCUGCAACUGUUUAUUAAAAACACAGCACUGUGCAAACACGAAAGUGGACGUAUACGGUGUGACGCCUGCCCGGUGCCGGAAGGUUAAUUGAUGGGGUCAGCGCAAGCGAAGCUCCUGAUCGAAGCCCCGGUAAACGGCGGCCGUAACUAUAACGGUCCUAAGGUAGCGAAAUUCCUUGUCGGGUAAGUUCCGACCUGCACGAAUGGCGUAAUGAUGGCCAGGCUGUCUCCACCCGAGACUCAGUGAAAUUGAACUCGCUGUGAAGAUGCAGUGUACCCGCGGCAAGACGGAAAGACCCCGUGAACCUUUACUAUAGCUUGACACUGAACAUUGAGCCUUGAUGUGUAGGAUAGGUGGGAGGCUUUGAAGUGUGGACGCCAGUCUGCAUGGAGCCGACCUUGAAAUACCACCCUUUAAUGUUUGAUGUUCUAACGUGGACCCGUAAUCCGGGUUGCGGACAGUGUCUGGUGGGUAGUUUGACUGGGGCGGUCUCCUCCUAAAGAGUAACGGAGGAGCACGAAGGUUGGCUAAUCCUGGUCGGACAUCAGGAGGUUAGUGCAAUGGCAUAAGCCAGCUUGACUGCGAGCGUGACGGCGCGAGCAGGUGCGAAAGCAGGUCAUAGUGAUCCGGUGGUUCUGAAUGGAAGGGCCAUCGCUCAACGGAUAAAAGGUACUCCGGGGAUAACAGGCUGAUACCGCCCAAGAGUUCAUAUCGACGGCGGUGUUUGGCACCUCGAUGUCGGCUCAUCACAUCCUGGGGCUGAAGUAGGUCCCAAGGGUAUGGCUGUUCGCCAUUUAAAGUGGUACGCGAGCUGGGUUUAGAACGUCGUGAGACAGUUCGGUCCCUAUCUGCCGUGGGCGCUGGAGAACUGAGGGGGGCUGCUCCUAGUACGAGAGGACCGGAGUGGACGCAUCACUGGUGUUCGGGUUGUCAUGCCAAUGGCACUGCCCGGUAGCUAAAUGCGGAAGAGAUAAGUGCUGAAAGCAUCUAAGCACGAAACUUGCCCCGAGAUGAGUUCUCCCUGAGACUUAGAGUCUCCUGAAGGAACGUUGAAGACGACGACGUUGAUAGGCCGGGUGUGUAAGCGCAGCGAUGCGUUGAGCUAACCGGUACUAAUGAACCGUGAGGCUUAACCUU